GGGGGUUGCUGUCAAGCAUAA
This 21-nucleotide microRNA is filed under the name Populus trichocarpa (black cottonwood). Its description in RNAcentral is "ptc-miR7841". Lineage: Eukaryota; Viridiplantae; Streptophyta; Magnoliopsida; Malpighiales; Salicaceae. The record is from miRBase by way of RNAcentral.